ACGACCUUACUUGAACAGGAUCUGUUCUAUAGGCUCGUACCUCUGUAUCCUUGAGAUCAAAGGAGACAGGAACCUAAGUCUGGUGAAUGAACCAUGACCGUGAGAUCAGAGCGUGAUUAACGGCAUGAUGAGUUCCUCUUUGGAGGGGCGUCAUCUAUUUCUGUAGAGGAUCGUUCUUGGACAGUGACUGUCUGAGAUGGUCUCACGGUUGUCUGACAGACC
Cajanus cajan (pigeon pea) is the source of this 222-nucleotide non-coding RNA. The record is from Rfam. NCBI's taxonomy places the organism in Eukaryota, Viridiplantae, Streptophyta, Magnoliopsida, Fabales, Fabaceae.